CCUACGGGCGGCAGCAGUGGGGAAUAUUGGACAAUGGGCGAAAGCCUGAUCCAGCCAUGCCGCGUGUGUGAAGAAGGCCUUCGGGUUGUAAAGCACUUUCAGUGGGGAAGAAAGCCUUGGGGCUAAUACCCUCGAGGAAGGACAUCACCCACAGAAGAAGCACCGGCUAACUCCGUGCCAGCAGCCGCGGUAAUACGGAGGGUGCGAGCGUUAAUCGGAAUUACUGGGCGUAAAGCGCGCGUAGGCGGUCUGAUAAGCCGGUUGUGAAAGCCCCGGGCUCAACCUGGGAACGGCAUCCGGAACUGUCAGGCUAGAGGGCAGGAGAGGAAGGUAGAAUUCCCGGUGUAGCGGUGAAAUGCGUAGAGAUCGGGAGGAAUACCAGUGGCGAAGGCGGCCUUCUGGACUGACACUGACGCUGAGGUGCGAAAGCGUGGGUAGCAAACAGGAUUAGAUACCCUUGUAGUC
Molecule: ribosomal RNA, 465 nt
Filed under: Vreelandella stevensii
Lineage: Bacteria; Pseudomonadati; Pseudomonadota; Gammaproteobacteria; Oceanospirillales; Halomonadaceae
Description: partial 16S ribosomal RNA
Rfam family: Bacterial small subunit ribosomal RNA
Source: RNAcentral